This is a long non-coding RNA of Diachasma alloeum, 1508 nucleotides long. RefSeq lists it as uncharacterized. The transcript is spliced from 6 exons. Lineage: Eukaryota; Metazoa; Arthropoda; Insecta; Hymenoptera; Braconidae. The record is from RefSeq and is a predicted model, not a curated record.
UGAAACAGGUGACUUUGUGGGUCUGAGACGGAGACAAACGCCCCGGGGCCUUUUUCAUAUCCAAUUCAUUCGAUGGUCGCCAAACAAUUAACGAAUUAACGGAUGUUAUGGGCAAACUGACGAUUCCGGGGAGAAAAUAGCGGCCGUUCGGGGUCGAGUCGAGUGCAAAUUUUGUUUCUCAAGUGCUAAACACUCUCAAGCGUCUAGUUGAAUACUCAAAAUCGCGAUAAAAAUAAAAAUUGUGAAUUUUUAAUAAUUUAAGCUGAAAAAUUGUUUUUUUAUGAAAAAAAAGUGAAUUAAAAACGAAAAAGUGCAAAUUUACACACUCUCUUGUGUUUUUCAAGGGUUAAACACUCUCAAGUGUCUAGUGGAACUCUCAAAAUUAUAACAAAGACAAAAAUUGUGAAUUUUUAAAAAUUUAAGCUUCAAAAAAAAUUUUUUUAAUUGAAAAAAAGUGAAUUGAAAAUGAAAAAGUGCAAAUUUAAACACUCUCUUGCGUUUUUCAAGGGUUGAACACUCUCAAGUGUCUAGUGGAACACUCAAAAUUAUGACAAAGACAAAAAUUGUGAAUUUUUAAAAAUUUAACCUUCAAAAAAAAUUUUUUUAAUUGUAAAAAAGUGAACUAAAAAUGAAAAAGUGCAAAUUUAAACACUCUCUUGCGUUUUUCAAGGGUUGAACACUCAAGUGUCUAGUGGCAUACUCAAAACUACCACGAAAACAAAAAUUGUCAAUUUUUAAUGAUUUAAGCUUCAGAAAUUUUUUUUUUAAAUUACAAAAUUGUGAAUUAACAACGAAAAAUCGAGGGGUAUUCGUCAUCCAGACAUUUUUCAUUCUAGAACAGUGAACUUGAUAAGCCGUUUCGUGAGAUAAUUCAGUGAAAAUGAAUCUACAUACGUAAUACGAAAAGAAACAACAUUACGUGGUGUUUGUUUUUUGGUGCAAAAGUGAAGACGACAAUUCGAAGCCAACGAUUCCCCCACGUAUAUCCAGCAAAGUUGGAGGAUCCUCCAGAGUUUGAGGCCAGAGUGCGGAACUCACCGAAGACACUGGUGGAGAUGUGUAUGACGGUGAGGGGAGGGCAAUACGGGGAGAGCAGUUUGGCGUAGCAUUUUCGUUGAGGCCAACUUAAUUUCAACUCCCCCGGAGGUUAUUCCACGAAGAACAAGAAUUUUCACAUCCGACUACGACGUACCACCUAUGCGAAUCUUAUUAAAUCGUGACGAGAGUAAAUUAAAGCCUGCGUCGCGAUCUGAUCGCCUCCACAACUGGUGUGUUAUUGAGCCUCCGAGUGAGUACAAUCUCUCUUACACGCCCAACAUACGCCUCCCGGUUAAUCGAUAGUCAGGAUCAUUAUUUACUAAUCGAAUCAACUGUUAUGCAUACGGUAUUGAACAUUUCGUUUGCAAGCCGAAGGAUGAGGGCUCCAGCUGGGAGUGUUUCUAGUUUUUUGCGGCAAAAUGUUCGUGGCACUAAGAACAGAGUUGAUGAUGAGGGACGAGAGCAAACAG